UUCAGUGAUGAGAAGUGCUGCAUAGGAAGUGCCGUCUGACACGAUAACUGACGAUGGCACAAGCUGCUCUGAGA
This is a small nucleolar RNA of Takifugu rubripes (torafugu), 74 nucleotides long. Ensembl annotates it as small nucleolar RNA SNORD49. NCBI's taxonomy places the organism in Eukaryota, Metazoa, Chordata, Actinopteri, Tetraodontiformes, Tetraodontidae. The record is from Ensembl.